RNAcentral lists this ribosomal RNA (375 nucleotides) under uncultured bacterium. RNAcentral describes it as "bacterial SSU rRNA". It matches the Rfam family "Bacterial small subunit ribosomal RNA", at positions 28 to 404 of the family's 1533-position model. The record is from RNAcentral.
GACGAACGCUGGCGGCGUGCUUAACACAUGCAAGUCGAGCGGUAAGGCCCUUUCGGGGGUACACGAGCGGCGAACGGGUGAGUAACACGUGGGUGACCUGCCCUCAGCUCUGGGAUAAGCCUGGGAAACUGGGUCUAAUACUGGAUAUGACUCCACGGUGCAUGUCGUGGGGUGGAAAGCCUUGUGCGGCCGAGGAUGGGCCCGCGGCCUAUCAGCUUGUUGGUGGGGUGANGGCCUACCAAGGCGACGACGGGUAGCCGGCCUGAGAGGGCGACCGGCCACACUGGGACUGAGACACGGCCCAGACUCCUACGGGAGGCAGCAGUGGGGAAUCUUGCGCAAUGGGCGAAAGCCUGACGCAGCGACGCCGCGUGA